UCCUUGCUCGUGGGGUUCCAGGAACCUGAGUCUAGGCUUUACUGAACAAGAGGUUCAGUAAAAGCCCCGAAGGCAACACUCACUUUAUACAGCAGACAAGCCAAGGUCCAGUGACUCCUGGCCAGUAGAUGGAACUCACUGACAACUUGCCAAACAUCCCUGGAUUUUAUUGGCAUACAUAUCUCAGGAAAGUCAGCAUAUCUCCUGCUUUUGAAGAGAAUGGCCUUAUGAAGAAGAGGUCCUGCAGUGCCCUGAAGUGCAAUAUGCCCUGUUGCUCAUAACCUGGUGUUUCAAUGGUUCUAUUAUGUGUGUUUUGUGCACCCUACUGUUGUGGCUGAGCCACAUCUGUAUUUAGUCCAGUCAUCUCUAAUGGAUCUCUUUGGUUGGUGUGGGCAGGGUUUGGUUCCUGUAUCAUUAAUGAGCCAAUCUGGGGACUCCUUGGGCUUGAAUUGGAUCAGACCAGUCAUUUGCCCUUACUGCGGUUGCAUCAAACUUCAGGGUGCCCUCCCUGUUUUGUGCCCUGAGAAGCUUUUGUAGGUGGGUGGGUCCUGCAGCCAGAUCAGACUAAAUGUCUGACCCCAGCUUACUGCUGGGACCACAGUUGAACCAGUUCUUGUGGUUAUACUUUCCUCUCCUCAGGGUAUGAGUCAUUUUGGAGUGUUGCUGCCUGAAACUUCCAGGCUUGUGGUGCUACUUUAGAUGGACUCCUGCUGAGGGCCUGUUGGAUGAGGUGGUCCACAGGAAGACGACUAUGGUAGAGUACGUGGUAUUAGUAAGGCUUGCACUCGUCUGCUCUGAGAGGAGACCUGUAGCCACUUCAAAGAAUUGCCCCAUUUGGGUUGCAGGAGGUGGGUCCACAGGAAAGUGCAGGGCUGAGAUAUGCUGCUGUGUUAACAAGCUAUGUGGAGAGAGUUCCUGCUGGCCUGGUUACAGCAAGUGUCCAUGGAUCUAGGCUGUGGGUUGAGGCUAGGGAAAUGGCAUUCACCAGCUUUUUUGUUUUUGGAGAACUCUCUUGAAGAUCCCUGCCCCUCCACCACAUGUUCUGAAUUUAGUAAAUAAGUCUUCCUGUAUAACCCAGGCAUUUUUCAACCUGCUCUUUCUUAGCUAUAUCUUAGCAUGGCUGUUUUUUGUCUCUUUAAGGGCAGGGAUUAAGUUUCCUAUCACCCUCAAACUCUCCCAGAGCCAACCCUGAUGUUUUUUAAAGUUCAUGUGUUAAGUUUCACUAGUUAUAAGAACUCAUUAUGUUAAGUCCCUGUGGUUUUCACAGCCAACUGUUAUAGAGAUUCAUCUUCCCAGUUUCGUCUCCCAUGCUUAGAAUGUGUAGCAUAGCCUUCUCCAUGCCUUUGGGGUCCAUCCCUCCCAUGAACAGUCUCCCAAGAAGAUCAUGUCUUCACCUUUUUUACCCUUUUUCAUGUGGCGCCUUCUCCACAUUUAGCUAUGGAGAUCUGUUCUGCCAGGCUUUAAGUCAUUUUCUGGGUUAUUUAACUAAUGUGGGUGAUAUUUAGGAGUAUCUGUGGGAUGAGGUGAGCUAUGAUUCUCUUACUCCACCUUCUUCCUUGGAAGUUGUUAAUUCAGUUUUUGAUAUGGUCAAACUUAUACAAAUCUGUCUGAGGAUAAAAUGUAUAUAAGUAGUAAGAGGCACCAAAGUUAGUAUUAACCUAUUAAAGAACGGGUUGAAAAUAAAUAAUAAAAAUUAAUAUAUUCUCUACACAAUAGAUUCUUAGAUAUAUAUUAACAUAGUUAAUUAACAUGUUGUUUAAAAAGAUAAGGCAGACCAAAACAUAUUAGGAAAAGUAUAUGCUUCUCUACCUUUGAGGGUAGAUAUAGUAAUUUCUUAAUUUUACACACUAGGAAAGGAGUAUAAAAAAACAUAAAUACUAUGCAGAUUUGUCCUUUAUAUUUAAACAAUGAGCCUCCUUUCUUAUUUGACUUUUUUGGUACAUGUUUUAUAUUUAACCAUAAAUAAAGAAUGAAAGUGACCUUA
Molecule: long non-coding RNA, 1984 nt
Organism: Hyaena hyaena (striped hyena)
Lineage: Eukaryota; Metazoa; Chordata; Mammalia; Carnivora; Hyaenidae
Exons: 2
Source: RefSeq, a predicted model, not a curated record